This 30-nucleotide small RNA is filed under the name Bombyx mori (domestic silkworm). Its description in RNAcentral is "ovarian small RNA-16347". Lineage: Eukaryota; Metazoa; Arthropoda; Insecta; Lepidoptera; Bombycidae. The record is from RNAcentral.
GCACGACCGGAAAACGGUGAAGGGUCCCUU